This 802-nucleotide ribosomal RNA is filed under the name uncultured bacterium. RNAcentral describes it as "bacterial SSU rRNA". It matches the Rfam family "Bacterial small subunit ribosomal RNA", at positions 8 to 807 of the family's 1533-position model. The record is from RNAcentral.
AGAGUUUGAUCCUGGCUCAGGACGAACGCUGGCGGCGUGCCUAACACAUGCAAGUCGAACGAAGCAUUUAAGUGAAUUCCUUCGGGAUGAAGCUUUUAUGACUUAGUGGCGGACGGGUGAGUAACGCGUGAGCAACCUGCCUUUCAGAGGGGGAUAACAGUUGGAAACGACUGCUAAUACCGCAUAACAUAUAUUUAAGGCAUCUUAGAUAUAUCAAAGCCUUGGCGCUGAAAGAUGGGCUCGCGUCCGAUCAGAUAGUUGGUGAGGUAACGGCUCACCAAGUCGACGAUCGGUAGCCGGACUGAGAGGUUGAACGGCCACAUUGGGACUGAGACACGGCCCAGACUCCUACGGGAGGCAGCAGUGGGGGAUAUUGCACAAUGGGGGAAACCCUGAUGCAGCAACGCCGCGUGAGGGAAGACGGUCUUCGGAUUGUAAACCUUUGUCUUUGGUGAAGAAGAAAGUGACGGUAGCCAAGGAGGAAGCCACGGCUAACUACGUGCCAGCAGCCGCGGUAAUACGUAGGUGGCAAGCGUUGUCCGGAAUUACUGGGUGUAAAGGGAGCGCAGGCGGGAAUGCAAGUUGGAUGUGAAAUACCGCAGCUUAACUGCGGAGCUGCAUCCAAAACUGUGUUUCUUGAGUGAAGUAGAGGUAGGCGGAAUUCCGAGUGUAGCGGUGAAAUGCGUAGAUAUUCGGAGGUACACCGGUGGCGAAGGCGGCCUACUGGGCUUUUACUAACGCUGAGGCUCGAAAGUGUGGGGAGCAAACAGGAUUAGAUACCCUGGUAGUCCACACUGUAAAC